UACAGAGAGAGGUGCAAGAGACCCAAUCCUCACUAACACAAUUUAAUUUCUCUUCCCUCAAUAUUUUCAUUUUUGAUAUAUAAUAUAUGCUUGAAUUGGAAUUAAUAAUUGCGCUUUCUCUUCGAUUCCUUAAUAUCGAAGGGUUUCGUGCUGCUGCUUUAUAUACGCAUGCCUUGCGUACUUGAGGCUUCUGGUUGAUGAAUUGGCUCGCAUCGAUUCCAUUUCGAGAUUUGGAUUAAAUUUGAUUCAUGUCGGCAAGAACUUUGAGG
RNAcentral lists this unclassified non-coding RNA (269 nucleotides) under Hevea brasiliensis (rubber tree). Lineage: Eukaryota; Viridiplantae; Streptophyta; Magnoliopsida; Malpighiales; Euphorbiaceae. The record is from RNAcentral.